Molecule: ribosomal RNA, 301 nt
Filed under: uncultured bacterium
Lineage: Bacteria
Description: partial 16S ribosomal RNA
Rfam family: Bacterial small subunit ribosomal RNA
Source: RNAcentral
CAGCAGCCACGGUAAUACGUAGGUCCCGAGCGCUGUCCGGAUUUAUUGGGCGUAAAGCGAGCGCAGGCGGUUAGAUAAGUCUGAAGUUAAAGGCUGUGGCUUAACCAUAGUACGCUUUGGAAACUGUUUAACUUGAGUGCAAGAGGGGAGAGUGGAAUUCCAUGUGUAGCGGUGAAAUGCGUAGAUAUAUGGAGGAACACCGGUGGCGAAAGCGGCUCUCUGGCUUGUAACUGACGCUGAGGCUCGAAAGCGUGGGGAGCAAACAGGAUUAGAUACCCGUGUAGUCCCUGUCUCUUAUACA